UACGUAGGUGGCAAGCGUUGUCCGGAUUUAUUGGGCGUAAAGCGAGCGCAGGCGGAAAGAUAAGUCUGAUGUGAAAGCCCCCGGCUUAACCGAGGAAUUGCAUCGGAAACUGUGUUUCUUGAGUGCAGAAGAGGAGAGUGGAACUCCAUGUGUAGCGGUGAAAUGCGUAGAUAUACGGAGGAACACCAGUGGCGAAGGCGGAUUGCUGGACAGUAACUGACGCUGAGGCGCGAAAGCGUGGGGAGCAAACAGG
Molecule: ribosomal RNA, 253 nt
Filed under: uncultured Lactobacillus sp.
Lineage: Bacteria; Bacillati; Bacillota; Bacilli; Lactobacillales; Lactobacillaceae
Description: partial 16S ribosomal RNA
Rfam family: Bacterial small subunit ribosomal RNA
Source: RNAcentral